Phthorimaea operculella (potato tuberworm) is the source of this 72-nucleotide non-coding RNA. The record is from the annotation of a GenBank genome assembly. NCBI's taxonomy places the organism in Eukaryota, Metazoa, Arthropoda, Insecta, Lepidoptera, Gelechiidae.
GCAUCGAUAGCUCAGUGGCAGAGCGGAGGGGCGUUUACUCAUCCGGCCCGGUUUCGAGUCCCGAUCGAUGCA